ACCAGGCCUGCCCCGCCCCGCACUGGCAGCGCAGCUCGGCCUGUGUGCUGUCCCCAGUCUACCCACACUCUGCUUCUUUUCAAGAAGGGAUGACUGAGAUGGGACCUCAUCAAUGUCUAUGAGUAUCUGAAUGGAGGGUGGCAAGUGGACAGAGCCAGGCCCUGGUCACUGGUGCCAAGCAGCAGGUAGAAGACACUGGUGAAUGAGAAGUUCCAUUUGAACACAAGGAAGAAUUUUCUGUGGAGAGCAUCCAAGCAGAAGAAAAUAUCACUGUCAUAGGUGGUGCCAAAGUCCUUUCCGCAGGGACCUGGGGACAACUUGUCUGCAAGCAGCCAGUGAUCAUGACGCAGGGCUACCUGUACGAGUCACAUGGGAAUUAACCAUCCACUGCAUGUGGAAGAUGUGCUUAGAUCGACAUUCCACCUUAGUGCGGGGCCUGAGCUUUUUUCUUCCUGCUGUGUCCACUCCAGGUCCACAUCUUAAUCAGGCUGGCAGCCUGUAUUUUACUCCCCAGCUGGGCUCUGCCAGGGAUCGAUACUGGGCUCCACGCUGUUCAACAUCUCCAUAAACUGUCUGAUGAUGGGAUUUAAAGCACCUUCUUGAACUUGACUGCUGAUGCCAAAUUGGAUGCUGAGGUGAAUCCAUCAGAAGGGAGAGCUAUCUUAGACAGAAACCCUGACAGGCUGAAGGAAUGGGCAGGAAAGAACAGAGUGAAGACAAGUGUAGAGUCCUGCAUCUAGGAGAUAAUCAAAGAACCCAGAAAAGCCUCGCUGAAAGGGAUCAGAGGAUCUUGACGGACAGCAAGCCAGACAUGAUUCAGAGCUGCACUGCAGCAGCAGCAGUGGCAAAAGGCUAGAGAACCUGCCCCAUGAAGAAAAACUGAAGGCGUUAGAUCUAUUCUCCAGGGACAAGAGAAGGCUCAGAGGGGACCUAAUCAAUUAUUUGAGUACUUCUGGGGCAUCUACAAAGAUAAUGGAGGCUCUCUUCACCAAGUGCUACAUCUAGAAGACAAAGGGCAGUGAUACAAGUUGCACUGGAAAUGUUCAGUGUAAAAUAUGAUACAUAUUCCUGUUGGAAUCAAGCCAACAGGAUCUGUUAGCAAGCAUCUUGGCAGUGUUAUUUCAAAUGGUGGUCUCUCUGAAUGCUCAAGGAAGGAUGACCUGGAGGAAGGCAGCUGACUGGAGGACACUGUUCGUGCUCCUUGGUCAAGGAUUUGUGUCAACAUGAUCUUGUUGACAGACGAAUGUUCUUAAGGUUGAAACUGCUACUAUCCAGAAAGAAUAUGAGGAAUGUUUCCUCCAUGGAGAACCUUCAUUAUCUGAAAAGGCUGUUAAUGUACUGUAAGAGGAUAGCCCUGACCUUGCGAAACAAGGGGAGAAAAUUUUCCAUGACUACAUACAGGCAACAGUGAGAGAUACAGAGGAGGAAAGGAUGAAACAGAAACUAUAGCAUUUGUCAUGGUGGAAAACUGUUAAAGCAGACCAUGUUUAGAAUAAAGCAGAAGUGAUAUUCAUUGCUAUUCAUUUAUGAAGGAAGGCAAACCCUUCACUUGAGAAAACUAAUGGUAAAGUUCUCUGUUAAAUCUUAUUAAUUAAGUACCGCUGAAUGCUUGCCAUUUACAAAGGCAUGCCUGUCACUGUGUCUGCUAAGAGGCACAAGUUGCUGCCAAACUGAAACCUUAGCUAUGUUUGGCUUUAUCUUGUGAGCUCUGGCUGACGUGUAUUGUUUUCCAUUAACAAAGUACAGCUUUUCACAUCUUGUAGCUGAUACUGAAAAACAUUAAUAUAAGAGGAACUCUUGUCAUCAAAAUAAAAUAAAUGCAUUAUAAAAGGCAUUCUAUGAAAUAUCUUCUGCUUUGAGAAACAGGCCUUUGAAGGAUAUUUUGGUUUUGUUACGUUUGAAUGGUUUUUUAUAUAAAAAAGCAUUUGCUGAUGUGUUUUCUUAUAUCAAGAAACGUUUUCUGGGAUCAUUCUGACUAAACAUUUUCUGGGAUCAUUCUUUGGCACAUUUUUUACAGGAAAAUAUUAGACAACAAUUAUGUUGUAGACAAUAGUGAGAGAGACUGUAUUCAUCUGCAAUGCAAGUGUUUUGAUCUGAGCUGGAAAAGAGAAACAAUAUCCAUUUGAAAGACUUUUUUUUUUUUGCAUUUCAUGUAUUAUAGUUCUCAAGCAUAUUUCAACAGAUUUAAGACAGUUCUUCAGUGUUUUUUUUUUUCCUUGUGUACUUGAUAGGACUGCGAGCAGUGAGUCAGUAUGCCAGCUUGCAUUAGGUAUCACCAUAGUUUUGUAUUGGUUAUAUGAAAUGUAAUUACUAAAACAGCACUAGAAACCUUUGCUUUUUCUGGUAGCAAUUAAAUUAAACAUAAUUAUUUAUUAUUUUCUGAAUACUGAAAAUUGGUUGUUCCAAAUUUAAGGACAGUUAGCUCUGAGCAACAAUUAGUUCCUUGCUGAGAAGGCAGUAAGAGGGGCCUUAGUGUCUGGAUCAGCAUCUAUAAUAUUGCUUAUGUUGUUCAGCACCAUGCUUGUAGGAGGUAGCUGGUGUGCUAGCUGCAACAGUUCUUGCAUGUGGUGUGAUUUUCCAUACAAUGCUUUGUGCUCUGACUGUUCCUUUUUUUGCAAAUGAGGAGAGUAACUGUUGUGUAUCUCUCUCUCAAGAAUUUAGGCCAAGGAUCAUUUAUGUACACACCAUGUGCUUUAGCUACAAGCAGGCUGUGCCCUUGUGCUGCAGAAAAGUAAGUUUGAGGAGUCCAGGGGCUGCUGGGUGUCCACAGUCCUUGCAAAGCACCCUCAGUGCAGCCACUCUUGGUGCCUGGGAUGGCAGAAAGACCAGAGCAGAGUGAGAGGGUUUCUCAGUUAACUCACCCCCAUUGUCCCCAGGGCUGUGAGUGUGGUAUCUGUCAACAACAGGCAGCUGCCUGCAGCAGUGCAGGGCCACUGUAAGCAGGGUGGGGCUGGGCCUCUGCUCUUCUCUGCUCCCUUUGCCACUGGGGUGGCCAGAGCCACCUAAGCUCCUUGAGGAGAGCCACAAGCACUGUGAGCAAGGGUGAAAAGUUUCAGCUGUGGGAGGCUUUUGGCAUUCCUCUGCCAGUGCUGAUUCAUUGAAGUGCUGUCUACAGUAUUUAUAACAUUUUUUAUUUUUUCCCCACAGUGUAAACGUACUUUUUUUCCUGUGAUAUUUAAAAUGGUGGAUAAAAGAAAACAUGUCUAUAGCAUACAGUCUAUAAAUUACACUAAUAGAGGGAUUAUGUGAAGAAAACAAGGAAAAGAAAAUGGGAAUAUAUCUGAGAUAAAUAGGGGUAGAUGCAGCCUGUCCUGAAAUCUUAUGCAGACAAAUGUUUACAAAAGGAAAAACAGGCUUGGACCAAACCCCAGCAACCCAGAGACUCCUGUUCUUGGGCUCCUGACCUGUUGCAUUGUUGUUGCUAGAUAUUUCUUCCAUGUUUAUAAAAUCAUUCCUUCUAUGUGAUCCCAGAAGGUACCAGUUGCUUUUCUGGUGAGAGGUUCAUACUUGCAGGAGGUAUCCUACUGUAUAGCUCUCAGCCAACCUUUUACAGUUAAAGUUCUCAGGUCAUUUACACUUCAAUGUUAUUCCCUUUCAAUAGCUAGUUCAGAAAAAAGUGUUCCCACAAGUGUUACUGUCUACUCAUACCGCUGCAUAGUGCCUUCAGAAGCCACACAGGCAGCUAUAUUGAACACUAAGAGCCUGCAAAUAAAAAUUACCAUCACA
Passer domesticus (house sparrow) is the source of this 3726-nucleotide long non-coding RNA. RefSeq lists it as uncharacterized. The transcript is spliced from 5 exons. Lineage: Eukaryota; Metazoa; Chordata; Aves; Passeriformes; Passeridae. The record is from RefSeq and is a predicted model, not a curated record.